Molecule: transfer RNA, 76 nt
Filed under: Pseudomonadota bacterium
Lineage: Bacteria; Pseudomonadati; Pseudomonadota
Also listed under: 3 other names
Description: tRNA-Asn
Rfam family: tRNA
About the family: Transfer RNA (tRNA) molecules are approximately 80 nucleotides in length. Their secondary structure includes four short double-helical elements and three loops (D, anti-codon, and T loops).
Source: RNAcentral
UCCCCGAUAGCUCAAUCGGCAGAGCGGAUGGCUGUUAACCAUUAGGUUGUAGGUUCGAGUCCUACUCGGGGAGCCA